GACGAACGCUGGCGGCGUGCUUAACACAUGCAAGUCGAACGGAAAGGCCCUGCUUUUGUGGGGUGCUCGAGUGGCGAACGGGUGAGUAACACGUGAGUAACCUGCCCUUGACUUUGGGAUAACUUCAGGAAACUGGGGCUAAUACCGGAUAGGAGCUCCUGCUGCAUGGUGGGGGUUGGAAAGUUUCGGCGGUUGGGGAUGGACUCGCGGCUUAUCAGCUUGUUGGUGGGGUAGUGGCUUACCAAGGCUUUGACGGGUAGCCGGCCUGAGAGGGUGACCGGCCACAUUGGGACUGGGAUACGGCCCAGACUCCUACGGGGGGCAGGGGGGGGGAAUAUUGCACAAUGGGCGGAAGCCUGCUGCAGCAACCCCGGGUGCGGGAGGACGGCCUUCGGGUUGGAAACCGCUUUCGCCUGUGACGAGGCGUGAGUGACGGUAAUGGGGAAAGAAGCCCCGGCUAACUACGU
RNAcentral lists this ribosomal RNA (467 nucleotides) under uncultured bacterium. RNAcentral describes it as "partial 16S ribosomal RNA". It matches the Rfam family "Bacterial small subunit ribosomal RNA", at positions 28 to 506 of the family's 1533-position model. The record is from RNAcentral.